Long non-coding RNA from Syzygium oleosum, 4747 nucleotides. RefSeq lists it as uncharacterized. NCBI's taxonomy places the organism in Eukaryota, Viridiplantae, Streptophyta, Magnoliopsida, Myrtales, Myrtaceae. The record is from RefSeq and is a predicted model, not a curated record. The transcript has 2 exons.
AAAGAAAAAGAGGAGGAUCUGGGAAUUGUACCUCCUUUUCUUUAAAUUUUCUUUAUAUCGAAGUUGUUAGCUUUCAUAAUCACGCUUGGAGCUCGAUUUUCUCGCUCUAAACUCGUGGAACAGUGCACCCUCUCUCUCCCUCUCUCUCUCUCUCUCUCUCUCUAGGACCAGCGGAGGCGCAAGUUGUCUCCUCGUUUCGAUCCUUAUCUCCUCGCAUGCUCGAGGUCACUCAUUGCUUUGUGGGGUUUUCGAGAAUUCUUCCACCGCGGUGUUUCAUCUUCAUCAUCAUCUUCCUUCUUGUUCUUGUUCUCCUCCUCCUCCUUGUUGUUCUUCUUCUUCUCUAUUUCAUUGGUCUCCUCAGCGAAGAUUCGGAGAAGUGAUUUCCCUCUCGCGUUUCGGUGUUGUUCGGCGUGAUUUGAUGGGCAUUUUCCGUCAGGUGCUUCCAGGAAGCGCUCUCUUUUGCAGCUUCCUACAAUGGGUGACUCGUUUCUUUUCCGCUCGUUGAAUCGGACUGGGUUUCCUUGGUAGUUGUAAAACUAGUACCCUUCGACUCUCUGGGGUUUGGUUUGCUCGUCGUUGCGAAAAUGCGAGAUUGUUUGGAUACGAAACUCGGAUGUGUUUUUUCUUAUCUUCAGUUUAAGGCUAGGGUUUGGUAGUUUUUUGAUCUGGAGAUCGUUCAGAGUUUGCUUUCGCGGACCCAUUUCAUUUUCUGUUUGGUUGUCCUUGUUUUGUUUCGGGGAAGUUUUGUGUUCGGAUUAAGUUUGUUGCUCCUCAUUGAGGGAGAGGGAUUUUACUUUUCUCUGAGUUCAUUUGAGUUUAGUUGAACUUACUCAUGCUUUACUGAAUUCACAUGCUCACUGCCCUAGCUGGCACGAGUGCCUAUUUAUUAUUGAAAUAUACUCCCUUGUGGAUCUUAGGCUCGCUGGCUUUCGGUGUAGUCUCACGGGUUUUGGAUAAUUUUCUUUGUUUAAAUGGUGUGGUUCCCACGCUGUUGCUGCCCAUGUUGUUCUCACUAGAUGCGGAUGCGUCAGGAUUAAGUCAUAAAUGCCACUUAGGUUUUGGUUUUGUAGUCUAUUCUUCUGAUGAUAAUUUAUGGGCAUGCAAUAUGUUCUUUCCUUUCCUUUUGAUUAUUUCUUUUGAAGAUCUUGAGUUGCGAGAUUUCAGUGCUGUUUGUGCUCUUUUUACUCACGUCUGUGCUGAUUCCUUGGAAAUAUAUGCCUAGUAAGAUUCAACCUUCGAAGCUGUCCAUCUCUUGUUGUGUUUGACAGUCAGCAUGGGGACAUUUUUCCUGUCAUAGAGUAAUAUGUGAUUCUGGAUAUUUUAGUUGAGACCCUUUUAUUGAUAAGGCAAACAAAUUUCAAUGGCUAUUGCAUGUUUAAAUGUUCUGAAAUAUUGCUUAUCUCCUUCUAAUUUGAAUUGGGGAAUACUAUAACAAUCAUCCAAUACAUUACUCUAGUUGGUGAGGAUUGGAUUGGCUAUUGAAUUUCAGUCAUGUAAUGUGUAAUUCUCCAUAGAUUAUGGUCAAAGAUUUAUAGAAACUUGCCAUUAGUAGAAUUUGCCUCUGCGCUUUGCUUUUUGCAGAUUUGGGCCUCUAGGUGAUAUCGUUGCUUGACAACGAGAGAGAGCACGCUAGUUGGCAUCCAUAAAAGGGACAUGGCUGUGUACAAGCGUGCUCUCUAUCGUUGUCAUAUGAUUUGCAUUUGAGGCUUUGUUCCUAAUCUGUGGCAUAAGCGGAUAGUAAAUUCGAAUUAUAUGUCUCAAGUGUAAUAUUUUAAUGCAUGACAUUGAUGAGUUCUGAAGGCUUGUGUCAUGCAUAUAUGAUACAAGAGGGUUGAGUCUCCUUUUUCACAUAGCUGGGAGGUAAUGUGAAUUUUCUUUUUCUCCUUAAACUUGACAUUUCAAUGCCUGAUACUAAUGAGUGUGUACUUUGUGUGAUGCAUUGGUAUAGUGCAAUUCUAGAUGGUUUUCCAAUAAUUUGGUGCAUGUGUGCAUCUUUGUUUAAGUUUGGUUGUUGUGUAGAUGUGAUGUGAUGGAGCAUGUACUAGAUACUCAAGUAAUUAAAACAUGUUUUUCUGAUGUAGCUGGUAGCUUUCUCGAUAUAUUUUGCAACAUCCAUGUGUCUAUCGAGAUGUGCACAUUUUAUUGGUUGAUCUGAAGUAUGUCACUAUUCAUGAUACUGAUCAAUGAUUUUGGAGUUGCAUUGCUCACUAAUAAUGAAUUAGUGUAACGCAGGAUAUUAGUGUAAUGCACGAUUUUGGAGUCUAGGUACCAUAUUGUUUGUUAUUUUCCUUGAAGUACUGAUUUCAUGUGGUGUUUGGAUGAGGUUAUGGGACAUUUUCCUUGUCAACUUGUGCAACAUAACUUUAAAUCUACUCGAACUUGUAGUUGUUGAGUAAGAUAUUGACUAAUGUAUAUUGUUUUAAGGAAAUUAUGAAAUAUGAUUUGCACUCCAGCAUAGUAGGCUCAAUUUAGGGAAGAAAAGGAUGCCAUGAUAUCCUGGUUGGGUUGAAUAUUCAGGUCUAAAUUAAGGAACUUGCGUGCUAAAUUUAUCUUUUGCAGAUUAAAGACCUAACUUUGGUCAGUCCUAAUGAUAAUGAGGUUGCACACAUGCCACCAAAGUAAAUUUGGUUUUUCAAUGAGUUUGUAAUGCAAUAUUAAAUUUAAUCCAACUAUGUGUUUCUGCUCAUGCACAUCAAUUGUUCAAAUUUGAUAGCUUGUUAUAGCUGAUUAACCUAAUUCCAUGCUUUGGCAAUGCUUGCUUUAUUAAAAAUGGCAGUUAUUGUUUGGGGGAAUCGCUCCACAAGUCAUCUUAUGUACGCAAUAUAAUCAUGUCUCAAACCUUUCAAUUGCUGCAAUAAGGUCCUAUGGAAAUAGAAAAGUCUAAUUGAGCUAAACUUUUAGUUCGUGUAGUCAAGUCAUAAAACUUUACUCCAAAGUGCACAAAGGUCCUAAACCUAUAUUAAGAAGUGCAACUUAAGGUUGCCGCAUAAGCUUUGAGUGCUAGCUGGGCAAGUUUCAGCAUUGUCCAUUGAAAAGACUAGAUUUUGUUUUUUGCAGUGGUUGCCAAUCAAAACAUUGAGGACUUAAUUGCAUUUUGCACAAAGGUUUAGGACUUUAGGUGCACUUCUCCUGUUAUGUGGGUGCCAAGGGGUGGUGAUUUUUUCUUUUAAGUUUUGCACUAGAAUUACCUUAAGAUUUCUAUACAGAUUGCCUAGGGAAGAGAGGGGGGGUAGGUGGGUGGGAUGAUUUUUUAUCAAUAAGUGAAUUUGAAACUUGAACAUAGGUUAUUGCGGUUGCAUUAUAAAUAAAGUAUUGCACUUGACUUAUAUGUAUAUAUUUUUGUUUGACAUGGACCACAACUCUCUUGGUGUCUUUUUUCUCACAUGCGAUGCUCCUUUUAACUUUUCCAAUUCCAUAGGAAAUGAAAUGAAAACAAUUUUCCGCUUCCAUUUCCUAAUAUUUUAAAAAGAUGUUUGGUAAGCCAAAAUGAGAAUUCUUGGUGGAAAGCACAAUUUUGAAAAUAUCUUUUGUGCUUCACUAAGAUGGUUUUUUUUUCCCUAUUUUGACCAAUAGGUUAAAUUUUUUUUUCAUAUAUAGAAUUCGAGAAAGUUUUAGAGAAGGUUCAUGUUCUUUACCAAUUCUCUGUGUGAGUAAAGUUUCUGGAGCUCACUGUUUUCCUCUCCUCAACACCAUUAAGCUUUUCAUUGUAGCUCCGGGAGGGUGGUUGAGGUGCUGCCUUCUCUCAAGCUAUCUGGAAGAUCCCUUGUUUUAUGCUUGGAUCCAUUCUUUGAAGAAGAUAUCAUGAAAAGAAUGUCUUUCAGUCCGUGAUACUGUAUUCUCAUUUUGGACCUGGAAACACCAAAGUGUUUUCAGUCCAUGAUACUGUUUUCACUUUUGUGCCUAAUAAAUGAGAACAAGCUGACCAUGUUUCCAUUAGAAAAUUUUUCCGUGAUCCCGCCAAACAAAGUUGCUAGUGACCUUUUCAUUCUGAGUGAAAUAAAAGUGGAACUUUGAAAUUGCCUAUCAAGCAAACAAUCCCUGAAAUCCUGCCAUUUUCUUUUGUUUUGUAGUUUUCUUUUGUUAGGACGGGUGAUUCAUAGUUGUGAGUAGAAUCCUAAAACAUUUUUAUGCUAGAAGGUGUAGUUCUCUUUUACGGGGGCCUAUUUUGGUCCACUCCUUGUAACUAUAUCUUGUAGAGAAUGAAAUUGUACCAUACGUAAAAAAUGUAAACCUUAUGCAUUGAAGCAAAAUACUUCUUUCUACAACAAGGACUGUUGUCUUUUUAGUUUUUAUGGAGUGUGGGAUAUAUAAAAAAUAAUGCGACACAAUUAGCCAAUUUGGGUGUGGAGAAAUUCCAAUUUGAUUCUUGUGUUGAAAAGAAGAAAGAGACUAAGAUAAUUCCUCUCCUUGUGUUUUGGCUCAUCCAGAAAGAAAAGAACAAGGAGCAGUUGUCCUCUGGGAAUUCUCUUAGGGAUAAUUUGUCAUAGAGACUUUACUUUGGGUAACAUAGGAAAGUUUAAUUUCAUAAUUGUAGCAUUGUUGGAUGUGAGGUUCCAGCAGCAAAUUGCUUUCUGCAUGAGCCAUCACUCUCAUUACUUAUUUAGAUGUUAGUUUAUUAGUAGGAUAACUACUAUUUCUACCGCGAUGAAGGUGAUUUGUGUAGAGAAAGUCGACACAACAUGUAUAUACCAAUGGCCAAUCAUUUUGGACAUGGAUGGCUUCUCUAUGAAGCCAUUUUCUAGUACAA